ACAGAAAAUUCGGCACUCGGUGCAUGACGUCACUAUGGAAAACUCAUGCUGCAUCGAAAACCCGGGACAGACAGACCAGACGGACAUACUGCAAACAGCACGUGGGUGCGGUGGCACAAGUGCACGUGGGAAGUAUACUGAACGCAUGGGUGGUCGCUGUAAUCCGUUUAUUUUCGCCACUUCGUGGACCAUCAAGAAAUUAGUCUUUGAGGAAUCGCUGGCACACCUACGUCAUGUCAUUGAUGGAAUUUGGGAAGGCCUCAUUGCUAGGUGAAUGUACUGCCGUGGCUGCCUACAUGCAUGUUGAGGCUGGCUAGUGUCAUGGUAUGAGUUGAAAUGACCGAUGAAAUUGCCAAAGUGAAGAGGCAGGCUACAUCAUAAGUAGCACAGACCUCCUCAUGUGAAAGCUGUGGGUGUGCCCCAGGAGAAUCAGACCAUGAUGCUGAUGAGAAGAGUGCCCUCGCCUCCUUCAACCUGGAGAGAAGGACGAUGGAGGACAAGA
Long non-coding RNA from Acanthaster planci (crown-of-thorns starfish), 502 nucleotides. RefSeq lists it as uncharacterized. NCBI's taxonomy places the organism in Eukaryota, Metazoa, Echinodermata, Asteroidea, Valvatida, Acanthasteridae. The record is from RefSeq and is a predicted model, not a curated record.